AAUAAAUGCAGCCAUAGAUAUCCAUGUCUAGUGUUUUGACCGUCUUGUCUUAUUUAAAAAUUUUAUAAAAAAAAUUAAAAAUAUUAGUCACACAUAAAGUACUAUUCAUGUAUUAUCAUCUAAUAACAAUAAAAAUACUAAUCAUAAUUGUUUUUCAAAUAAGACGAACGAUUAAACGUUGAGCAUAAACAAUGUUAAAACUGCACUUAUU
Oryza sativa Japonica Group (Japanese rice) is the source of this 211-nucleotide microRNA precursor. It matches the Rfam family "MIR812 microRNA precursor family". NCBI's taxonomy places the organism in Eukaryota, Viridiplantae, Streptophyta, Magnoliopsida, Poales, Poaceae. The record is from Rfam.